This 426-nucleotide ribosomal RNA is filed under the name uncultured bacterium. RNAcentral describes it as "bacterial SSU rRNA". It matches the Rfam family "Bacterial small subunit ribosomal RNA", at positions 355 to 773 of the family's 1533-position model. The record is from RNAcentral.
UAAGGAAUAUUGGUCAAUGGACGCAAGUCUGAACCAGCCAUGCCGCGUGCAGGAUGAAGGCCCUCGGGUUGUAAACUGCUUUUGUACGGAACGAAAAGCCUUCUUCUAAUACAGGAGGGUCAUGACGGUACCGUAAGAAUAAGCACCGGCUAACUAAGUGCCAGCAGCCGCGGUAAUACGUAGGGUGCAAGCGUUAAUCGGAAUUACUGGGCGUAAAGCGUGCGCAGGCGGUUAUGUAAGACAGAUGUGAAAUCCCCGGGCUCAACCUGGGAACUGCAUUUGUGACUGCAUAGCUAGAGUACGGUAGAGGGGGAUGGAAUUCCGCGUGUAGCAGUGAAAUGCGUAGAUAUGCGGAGGAACACCGAUGGCGAAGGCAAUCCCCUGGACCUGUACUGACGCUCAUGCACGAAAGCGUGGGGGGCAAAC